Molecule: ribosomal RNA, 255 nt
Filed under: uncultured bacterium
Lineage: Bacteria
Description: partial 16S ribosomal RNA
Rfam family: Bacterial small subunit ribosomal RNA
Source: RNAcentral
UACAGAGGGUGCAAGCGUUAAUCGGAAUCACUGGGCGUAAAGCGCACGUAGGCGGAUCUUUAAGUCAGAGGUGAAAUCCCAAGGCUCAACCUUGGAACUGCCUUUGAUACUGGGGAUCUUGAGUCCGGGAGAGGUGAGUGGAACUGCGAGUGUAGAGGUGAAAUUCGUAGAUAUUCGCAAGAACACCAGUGGCGAAGGCGGCUCACUGGUCCGGGUACUGACGCUGAGGUGCGAAAGCGUGGGGAGCAAACGGGG